AGAUUUGAUCCUGGCUCAGGAUGAACGCUAGCGGCAGGCUUAAUACAUGCAAGUCGAGGGCAGCAGCUUUGUAGCAAUACAGGGGCUGGCGACCGGCAAACGGGUGCGGAACACGUACGCAACCUUCCUUUAACUGGAAGAUAGCCCACCGAAAGGUGGAUUAAUACUCCAUAACAUAUUGAAGAGGCAUCUCUUUGAUAUUAAAGCUCCGGCGGUUAAAGAUGGGCGUGCGUCUGAUUAGGUAGUUGGCGGGGUAACGGCCCACCAAGCCUUCGAUCAGUAGCUGAUGUGAGAGCAUGAUCAGCCACACGGGCACUGAGACACGGGCCCGACUCCUACGGGAGGCAGCAGUAAGGAAUAUUGGUCAAUGGACGCAAGUCUGAACCAGCCAUGCCGCGUGGAGGAUGAAGGCCCUCUGGGUUGUAAACUUCUUUUCUUUGGGACGAAACCCCUGUUUCUACGGGGACUGACGGUACCAGAGGAAUAAGCACCGGCUAACUCCGUG
This 505-nucleotide ribosomal RNA is filed under the name uncultured bacterium. Its description in RNAcentral is "bacterial SSU rRNA". It matches the Rfam family "Bacterial small subunit ribosomal RNA", at positions 9 to 507 of the family's 1533-position model. The record is from RNAcentral.